GGACUACCAGGGUAUCUAAUCCUGUUUGCUCCCCACGCUUUCGCGUCUCAGCGUCAGUCCCUGGCCAGCGGGCCGCCUUCGCCACUGGUGUUCCUCCCGAUAUCUACGAAUUUCACCUCUACACCGGGAAUUCCGCCCGCCUCUCCAGCACUCCAGCGCCGUCGUUUCGGGUGCGCGUCCGGGGUUGAGCCCCGGGCUUUCACACCCGACGCGCGGCGCCGCCUACACGCGCUUUACGCCCAGUGAUUCCGAGCAACGUUCGCACCCUCUGUCUUACCGCGGCGGCUGGCAC
This 292-nucleotide ribosomal RNA is filed under the name uncultured bacterium. Its description in RNAcentral is "partial 16S ribosomal RNA". The record is from RNAcentral.